Molecule: ribosomal RNA, 421 nt
Filed under: uncultured bacterium
Lineage: Bacteria
Description: bacterial SSU rRNA
Rfam family: Bacterial small subunit ribosomal RNA
Source: RNAcentral
UAAGGAAUAUUGGUCAAUGGACGCAAGUCUGAACCAGCCAUGCCGCGUGAAGGAUGAAGGUCCUCUGGAUUGUAAACUUCUUUUAUCUGGGACGAAAACGGGAUUUUUAUCUCAAUUGACGGUACCAGAGGAAUAAGCACCGGCUAACUCCGUGCCAGCAGCCGCGGUAAUACGGAGGGUGCGAGCGUUACCCGGAUUUACUGGGUUUAAAGGGUGCGUAGGUGGGCUUAUAAGUCAGUGGUGAAAUCUCCGAGCUUAACUUGGAAACUGCCGUUGAUACUAUAGGUCUUGAAUUAUCUGGAGGUAAGCGGAAUAUGUCAUGUAGCGGUGAAAUGCUUAGAUAUGACAUAGAACACCAAUUGCGAAGGCAGCUUACUACAUAUAAAUUGACGCUGAGGCACGAAAGCGUGGGGAUCAAACA